Molecule: ribosomal RNA, 252 nt
Filed under: uncultured bacterium
Lineage: Bacteria
Description: partial 16S ribosomal RNA
Rfam family: Bacterial small subunit ribosomal RNA
Source: RNAcentral
UACGUAGGUCCCGAGCGUUGUCCGGAUUUAUUGGGCGUAAAGCGAGCGCAGGUGGUUUAUUAAGUCUGGUGUAAAAGGCAGUGGCUCUACCAUUGUAUGCAUUGGAAACUGGUAGACUUGAGUGCAGGAGAGGAGAGUGGAAUUCCAUGUGUAGCGGUGAAAUGCGUAGAUAUAUGGAGGAACACCGGUGGCGAAAGCGGCUCUCUGGCCUGUAACUGACACUGAGGCUCGAAAGCGUGGGGAGCAAACAGG